CCGGCGAUGUCCGAAUGGGGAAACCCAGUGCAAUUCGUUGCACUAUCGUUUGAUGAAUACAUAGUCAAACGAGGCGAACCGGGGGAACUGAAACAUCUAAGUACCCCGAGGAAAAGAAAUCAACCGAGAUUCCCCCAGUAGCGGCGAGCGAACGGGGAGCAGCCCAGAGCCUGAAUCAGCAUGUGUGGUAGUGGAACGGUCUGGAAAGGCCGGCGAUACAGGGUGACAGCCCCGUACACAAAAUUGCAYGUGUUGUGAGCUCGAUGAGUAGGGCGGGACACGUGGUAUCCUGUCUGAAUAUGGGGGGACCAUCCUCCAAGGCUAAAUACUCCUGACUGACCGAUAGUGAACCAGUACCGUGAGGGAAAGGCGAAAAGAACCCCGGCGAGGGGAGUGAAAAAGAACCUGAAACCGUGUACGUACAAGCAGUGGGAGCCUCUUAAUGGGGUGACUGCGUACCUUUUGUAUAAUGGGUCAGCGACUUAUAUUCUGUAGCAAGGUUAACCGAAUAGGGGAGCCGAAGGGAAACCGAGUCUUAACUGGGCGUUAAGUUGCAGGGUAUAGACCCGAAACCCGGUGAUCUAGCCAUGGGCAGGUUGAAGGUUGGGUAACACUAACUGGAGGACCGAACCGACUAAUGUUGAAAAAUUAGCGGAUGACUUGUGGCUGGGGGUGAAAGGCCAAUCAAACCGGGAGAUAGCUGGUUCUCCCCGAAAGCUAUUUAGGUAGCGCCUCGUGAAYUCAUCUUCGGGGGUAGAGCACUGUUUCGGCUAGGGGGUCAUCCCGACUUACCAACCCGAUGCAAACUGCGAAUACCGAAGAAUGUUAUCACGGGAGACACACGGCGGGUGCUAACGUCCGUCGUGAAGAGGGAAACAACCCAGACCGCCAGCUAAGGUCCCAAAGUCAUGGUUAAGUGGGAAACGAUGUGGGAAGGCUCAGACAGCCAGGAUGUUGGCUUAGAAGCAGCCAUCAUUUAAAGAAAGCGUAAUAGCUCACUGGUCGAGUCGGCCUGCGCGGAAGAUGUAACGGGGCUAAACCAUGCACCGAAGCUGCGGCAGCGA
This 1064-nucleotide ribosomal RNA is filed under the name Citrobacter amalonaticus. Its description in RNAcentral is "partial 23S ribosomal RNA". Lineage: Bacteria; Pseudomonadati; Pseudomonadota; Gammaproteobacteria; Enterobacterales; Enterobacteriaceae. RNAcentral also lists the same sequence under 1 other name. The record is from RNAcentral.